UACCUCUUGUAUGGUCGACACCCCCGUCUUCCAGUAGACCUUCUCUUUGGUCUCAUGGCAGAAAACAACACUGAGACACCACAUGGGUAUGCAGAAAGAUGGAAAGGGAAGAUGACAGAAGCAUACCGCAUUGCAAAUGCAAACAGUCAACAGUCAAGUUCCAAAGGCAAAGCAAACUAUGACAAAAGAUGCAAAGGAGUAAUGCUACAGGCAGGAGACCGAGUACUGGUACGAAACCUGAGUGAAAGGGGGGGCCCUGGCAAACUGAGACCCUACUGGGAGCAAACGGUCUACAUUGUGAGGGAGCAAGUGGGCGACAACCCCGUCUACAAAGUGAGUCCAGAGGCGGGAGGCCGUCCUGUUCGCACCUUGCACAGGAACUUGUUGUUACAAGUGAAUGACUUGCCAGUGGACAUUAUCCAAAGUCAGGCUACAAGACCACACAAGAGAAACAAGAAGUCCACCGGAAGACCAAUGACACCAGAGCCAAACCCUGACACAACUGACUCGGAAGAGGGUGAGCCAUUGUACUGGCUUGGUGUACCCAGAUACCCUCGAGGGGGCCAUUCUCCAGUCACACCAGUUCCAAGUGGAGUGCAACGGAGCUCCGGUCCAAGUGAACUAGGACAAGUCUUAAGGGCUCGUGUCCAACCUAGAAAAAAAAGUGCCAUGGUUCCGGAAGAGGAUCUAAUUGUGUUAAGAGACCCAGACCUACCUCAACUAAGUGACGAUCAGGAGAUGCCUCAGGUUCAAGAAGAAGUUGACGUCACUGAGUCCAGUCCUGAUCCAGUAGAGCUUCCUGACCCAGAGCCAGAACCCAGGGUGGAGCCAGGGGAUGACAUCCAUCCAGAGCCACCAUCUCAUCUUAGGCAGUCCAGCAGGCAGAGACGUCCCACCACAUUCUUCACCUACCCAUCCUUGGGUCAACCAGCCUAUCAGGCUCAUCCUGCGGUGAACACCAUCAACGUCCAACCUUCGCCAUAUCCUUCCCUCUACUACCCUCUUCUCUACUCCCAACCCCCCUACCCCUUUCCCCUCACCCUUAGCCCUUACUUACCUGUUUCAUAUGUUGUUCCUUGCUAUUGAAUCGAACAGAAAUCUCAGGAAGAAGAAUGCCUGAAGUCUAAGGACACCUGGGCAAGAGGAAUAUUCCAGGGACUUCUGUAAAGAGACUUUGUUAGUUUAGAGGGUUUUUUUUAUAAUUCAAGUUAAGUGUCAGGAGCCACUUUUGCUGUUGGGGAGCGUGUGGUGAACACAAAUGUGCUACCACAUUUUGGGAAAUUUUAUUAUUUUUAAGAAAAACAUAUGUCAGCAAUUAAGACAAUUAUUAUUUUACAUUCAUUACGUGUAGUCCAUAACAAUUGAGGAGAGUAAAAGUGAGAAAUAAUAAGCGGAACUGUUGACACUGUAGUCGUUCGCCCGCGGUUGCCUAGAGCGGACCAACUUCCUGUCCUCUCAGAUGCAAUUCGGGAAAAGACACGAGUGCUCCUGUGAUUCUUUCUCUGAGACUCUACCUUUAUUUUUACAGACUCGUUUUGGCAAGACGGGAUGUUACCUCAGCUUUAGAGCCACAGACACCUCUGGUAUCAUAACGCCUCCAUCAUUCAACAUCAAACUGGAUAAAUCUGACAACAGCUUCCCAUCUGACCUCUUCAAAGUUUUUGGUUAUUGACUUAUUUACUUAUUUUAUAUACAAUUUAAUGAAGGCAUGUAAAAUGAAUCCUUCAUACAGUUUCAUUUUGACUCUGUUGGAUUUCUAUGUUCAGCCUUCAGAUUAUGAUGAAUAAACUAAAUGUGGGACAAACACAGUGUUUGUGUGGGACAACAGCACAUUACCAAAGCAGGGAGGCUGUCAAAUAUCUUAUAUUUUAAUGCAAUGUUUUAAAUUCUCUUGCUAAGUCAAUACAACAGGAAGAAAAGGAGGCUAAACUUUGUUGUUAUGAUCUCACACAAUAGGCUGUAUUUUAUUCAGCUGUUCUGCCUGGUAACAGUCUUUGGGUUUCAGUAAUGAUGUGUCCAUAGAUCAACAUGCCUUUUUUAGCCAUUUCUGAAUAUUUUAGCAAUUUUUAGCCAAGUAUGACUUACAAAUAAUGUCACAUCACAUCAUAUUUUCCCUCAGUUUCUCAGAGUAUAUUGCUGCAUCAUUUUCUUUGUGUUCAUUUCCAUCAUAUUUACCAAAAUCUGCACAGCGUGUGACUUUUGUGACUUUCCCUGUGAGUCUCUGUGGGUAUAGAAUUAGACAGGCUCAACUUAAUUUAAGUAUAAGAAAUGUUUCCAUCCAGCUGCACUGACUAAAGCCAGACCUUAUGAAAGUGCAUGUCCUGCAGAGUCGGUCAAAAUGUGGGACAGGGGGACAUAAAAUGUUGUGCAGCUGCGCUUAAAGAGGGACAUCAGGUCACCCGAUACAGAUACAGGUUUCAUGGCCCAGUGUCCUCAUAAAUGCACAUAAUGUACAUGAUCCAAAGCAACACUUUUCCUCAGUUUCCUCUUACGUGAAAGUUUUCUUUCAUUAUCAGCUUUUCGUUAAUAUUAUUUGUAAGGAUUAAUAAAAAUAAUGGUUUUGCCUCAGCUCUGUUAUGAACUGAUUUCUACCUGUUAUAUUUUACAUGUUA
This is a long non-coding RNA of Astatotilapia calliptera (eastern happy), 2612 nucleotides long. NCBI's taxonomy places the organism in Eukaryota, Metazoa, Chordata, Actinopteri, Cichliformes, Cichlidae. The record is from Ensembl.